Long non-coding RNA from Ipomoea nil (Japanese morning glory), 580 nucleotides. RefSeq lists it as uncharacterized. NCBI's taxonomy places the organism in Eukaryota, Viridiplantae, Streptophyta, Magnoliopsida, Solanales, Convolvulaceae. The record is from RefSeq and is a predicted model, not a curated record. The transcript is spliced from 5 exons.
UAUGAAAUUAUGAAGACUUUUUAUUCUAAAUUUGUAGCUACUGUUUGUGAUUUGUUUUGUUUGUUUAUUUUACAGAUUGUUAUUUCUCUAUUUUUGGGUAAACAUUUCAAUAGCUUUUGAUGAUUAUGGUUUUGUGAUCAUGUGAUUGAAUGUAUUGUGUGAACAAGGAAACUAGAAAGAAAAAAGAAAUACUUGCUUCGACACCUGCGGCAAGGACUUCAACAGCAGGCAUGCAUUUGUGGUGGCUGUGAGAUAAUAAACAGUACAGUAAUGGCGGAUGGAUGGGAAAGAGAAAGCCAAAAAGGGGUUUGGAUUGUUGUUAGUUGGGCACAAGCUUUGGGCAGUUUACAUAGAGGCAAUUGCAAUGGUGGAAGAGUAUUAGCAUUCAGCAAGCUCUUUCUGUAGAUGGUGGCGUUCGAGAUGUUAAGGCUCAUUACCCUCAGCUCAGUUUGAAAAACCUUCCUCAGGUGAACGGCAUGAGCCUUUGAUGUAUAAUGUUGUUAGGAACCAGAUUGAGACGGAGUUCCCGGUGGUGGGACUGGAUUGAUGAGUCAAGAGACAGAGGCCUGUGAUUCCAAAG